UACGUAGGUGGCGAGCGUUGUCCGGAUUUACUGGGCGUAAAGGGCGUGCAGGCGGUUUGUUAAGUGCAGAGUGAAAGCUCCCGGCUCAACUGGGAGAGGUCUUUGCAUACUGGCAAACUCGAGGGAGGCAGAGGAAAGUGGAAUUCCGCGUGUAGCAGUGAAAUGCGUAGAGAUGCGGAGGAACACCGAUGGCGAAGGCAGCCCCCUGGGCUAGCACUGACGCUCAGGCACGAAAGCGUGGGGAGCAAACAGG
RNAcentral lists this ribosomal RNA (253 nucleotides) under uncultured bacterium. Its description in RNAcentral is "partial 16S ribosomal RNA". It matches the Rfam family "Bacterial small subunit ribosomal RNA", at positions 524 to 776 of the family's 1533-position model. The record is from RNAcentral.